This 599-nucleotide unclassified non-coding RNA is filed under the name Monomorium pharaonis (pharaoh ant). Its description in RNAcentral is "uncharacterized LOC105835684, transcript variant X1". Lineage: Eukaryota; Metazoa; Arthropoda; Insecta; Hymenoptera; Formicidae. The record is from RNAcentral.
ACCGUUGGAAGAACGACGUGACGCGCGGGAACGAGCAGGAAAAUUCCUGUUGCAAGUUCUAGAAGGAUCUUUGCGAUUGGUCCCGUAUAUAAUCGUGAGAUCGCGCGCGAUUGGCUGGCGUUCGCCGAUUUCUGGACCUCGCUGGGGUGCGUUCCAAAAUUAACCUCGGGUAAUCCUAGUGAUUAUCCUAGGUAGACGCGAUGUGAGUUAUCUGAGGUUGGGUAACCACAAUAACCUCUCAAUUUUACGAGGUAAGAAAGUUACCUUCGGCGUCAACUAACUAUGAGUUGUAGAACGACAUUAAACUCCUACCAUUGAUUAACAUCGUGCUGCAACUCCGCUGCUGCGCGUCGGGUUGGUGAGUCGUUUGUUUUUAUCUCACGCGAUCUGCAAACAUUGCAGAUGAAUCUAGCAGAAAAUUAAUUAGAUUGUUAUCUAAACGGUCAUAAUUGUUGCGACCAUUUCAGGUACGAAAUGCGCAUUCUGUAUUUGCCCCUCGAAAAAACACGCGUACGAAAUUACAUUAGACGUCAAAGAACUCGUGAACCAUAAUUAAAUUCGAUUAGAAUUCGAGAUUAGAAUUCAAUCAAUCACUGAAA